Molecule: long non-coding RNA, 514 nt
Organism: Leopardus geoffroyi (Geoffroy's cat)
Lineage: Eukaryota; Metazoa; Chordata; Mammalia; Carnivora; Felidae
Exons: 2
Source: RefSeq, a predicted model, not a curated record
CCACGAGCUUUCACUAAGCUUUCUGCCUCAGACUCAAGCCACGAAAAUGAAAUUUCGUUUGAGAAAUGAAACAGAGAAAGCUUAUAAGAAAAUGCCAUAGUUCAGAAGAAAGAGACACGGGAGUGCUGGAUCCUCUCUCUGGGCGUCCUCCCUCCUGGGAACACGUAUAACAAGUACUCACAGCUGCAGCUCACUCACAGGCCUGAAGAAAAAGAUGCUGGGGCGCUGCUCCUGAGACAGCAGCUAACACCUGGAGGGCACUUCUCAAGUUUGCAUGCAUCGCUCUUUGAUGCUCCCAACCAACCUCUAAAAGGCAGGAUUCUCCUCCUUCAUCGCCCCCCACCCCUCCCGACGAUUUUGCAAACGAGGAAAUUAAUGUCCAGAUAAGUUAACUGACUUGCCCAAGAGAUUACAGCCACUGAAUGGUGGAGCUGGGACUUUAGUUCUAACAUUUACUGCGCAUUUACUAUAUGCAAGGACUUAGAUAAGUAUAAAUGAUAUAAUUAUGAAAUUA